This 442-nucleotide ribosomal RNA is filed under the name uncultured bacterium. RNAcentral's name for it is "partial 16S ribosomal RNA". It matches the Rfam family "Bacterial small subunit ribosomal RNA", at positions 338 to 795 of the family's 1533-position model. The record is from RNAcentral.
CCUACGGGUGGCAGCAGUGGGGGAUAUUGCACAAUGGGGGAAACCCUGAUGCAGCGACGCCGCGUGGGCGAAGAAGUAUUUCGGUUUGUAAAGCCCUAUCAGUAGGGAGGAAGAAAUGACGGUACCUGAGUAAGAAGCACCGGCUAAAUACGUGCCAGCAGCCGCGGUAAUACGUAGGGUGCAAGCGUUAUCCGGAUGUACUGGGUGUAAAGGGAGCGCAGGCGGCACGGCAAGCCAGAUGUGAAAGCCCGCGGCUCAACCGCGGGACUGCAUUGGGAACUACCGGGCUGGAGUGCCGGAGAGGUAGGCGGAAUUCCUAGUGUAGCGGUGAAAUGCGUAGAUAUGAGGAGGAACACCAGUGGCGAAGGCGGCCCACUGGAAGGUGACUGACGCUGAGGCGCGAAAGCGUGGGGAGCAAACAGGAUUAGAUACCCGUGUAGUC